GACGAACGCUGGCGGCGUGCUUAACACAUGCAAGUCGAACGGGCCUUGUCCCCUUUUUUUUUGGGGGUGGGGGUCGUGGCGAACGGGUGAGUAACACGUGAGUAACCUGCCCCUCACUUCUGGAUAACCGCUUGAAAGGGUGGCUAAUACGGGGUGUUCUGACCUGCUCGCAUGGGUGGGUUUGGAAAGAUUCGACGGGUUUUGGUUGUUUUGGUGGGGGAUGGGCUCGCGGCCUAUCAGCUUGUUGGUGGGGUGAUGGCCUGCCAAGGCUUUGACGGGUAGCCGGCCUGAGAGGGUGGGCGGGCACACUGGGGCUGAGGCACGGCCCAGACUCCUACGGGAGGCAGCAGUGGGGAAUAUUGCACAAUGGGCGCAAGCCUGAUGCAGCGACGCCGCGUGAGGGAUGGAGGCCCUCGGGUUGUGAACCUCUUUCGCCAGUGAAGAAGGUCCUGCUCUUUGUGGUGGGGUUGACGGUAGCUGGGUUAAUGAAGCGCCGGCUAACUACGUG
Molecule: ribosomal RNA, 508 nt
Filed under: uncultured bacterium
Lineage: Bacteria
Description: partial 16S ribosomal RNA
Rfam family: Bacterial small subunit ribosomal RNA
Source: RNAcentral